GCUUAACACAUGCAAGUCGAGCGAGAAUCGUUUUGCUGAAGGCUUCGGUCUGACGCAGAAUGAGGAAAGCGGCGAACGGGUGAGUAACGCGUGGGCAACCUGGCCUUAAGAAAAGGAUAGCCCCCGGAAACGGGGAGUAAUACUUUAUGAGAAUGAAAGAGGGCAUCCUACUUUCAUUCAAAGCGCAAGCGCUUAAGGAUGGGCCCGCGUAUCCUUAGCUAGUUGGUGAGAUAACAGCCCACCAAGGCAACGAUGAUUAGCCGGUCUGAGAGGUCGAACGGCCACAUUGGAACUGAGAUACGGUCCAAACUCCUACGGGAGGCAGCAGUGGGGAAUAUUGCGCAAUGGAGAAGAACUCUGACGCAGCAAUACCGCGUGAGCGAAGAAGGUCUUCGGAUCGUAAAGCUCUGUUAUCAGGGAAGAAGAAAAUGACGGUACCUGAUGAGCAAGUCCCGGCUAACUGCGUGCCAGCCGCCGCCGUAA
RNAcentral lists this ribosomal RNA (483 nucleotides) under uncultured bacterium. RNAcentral describes it as "partial 16S ribosomal RNA". It matches the Rfam family "Bacterial small subunit ribosomal RNA", at positions 46 to 523 of the family's 1533-position model. The record is from RNAcentral.